GUACCCCCCCAGUGCCCCCCAGUCCCCUCCCAGUGCUCCCAGUCCCCUCCCAGCACCUCCCAAUGCUCCCAGUCCCCUCCCAGUACCCCCCCCCCUCACCCCAGUGUCCCCAGGAGUCUCCGGGGGAUGGCAGCCUGGCCAGCCGCAGCAGCAGCACCAUCAGUGCCACCAGUGCCACCAGUGCCACCAACGCCUCGGGGCCAGAGGACGAGGAAGAGGAGGAGGAGGAGGAAGAGGAGGGGGGUGAGGAAGGGGGCGAGGAAGGCUCCUGCCCGCCCCCCGACGGCUCCGGCAGCGAGGCCCAGGACGCCCCGCCCCCCGAGGAGGAGGAGGAGGAGCCCCGCGAGGAGGCGGAGCCACAGGAGGAGGGGGCGGAGCCUGAGCCCGGCCCCCUCCCGGAGCCCCCCCAGCCCCACGGGGGCACCCGGCAGGAGGAGGAGGAGGACGCCCCCCCCCCUCCCGGCAGGGGCGGAGCCUCCCUUGGGGGCGGAGCCUGAGCUGGGGGCGGAGCCUCCCGCCGCAGGUGGGCGUGGCCUCCCGUGCUGGGCCGGCUGGGGAGGGGGCGGGGCCCUGCUGGGGGCGGGGCUGGCGCUGGCCCUCGCCCCCCCGGCCUUCCUGCCCCUCCCCCUGCUCCUCCUCCUCCUCCUCCUCCUUUUGGGGCCCCUGCUGGGUCUGAGGCCCCCCCUGGCCCCCCGCCGCCCCCUGCCGGUGCCCCAAAUCCCCCGUUUUUUCCCCCAAAUCCUGCCCCCCCUCCACGUCCCCGCCCUGCUCCUGGCCUCGCGCCUCCUGGCCUCCCCCUGGCUCUUCCUCCCCCUCUACCUCCUGGUGGCCUCCUGCAGGGGCCGGGGGGGGCUCUUUGGGGGUCCCCCCGUGCUGGGGAGGGGGCUCGGAGGUGGCGGGGGGGGGUCCCAGGGCGGGGGGGCUCCCCCAUCGCGCCGCCCGCUGGUGGCUGCGGGCGCUGCUGCGCCUCCCCCGGCCCGUUUUUGGGGUGCUGCAGGGGCUGGGCCUGGCCUCGGAGCGGGGCCUCUUCCGCCUCUUCCCCAAGGCCAACAAAUUGGGGGGGGGGUUCCGCUCCCGCCUCCCCGUGCCCCGGCACCCCCGGGACCGCCCCCCGGUAAUUUCGCCCCCCNNNNNNNNNNNNNNNNNNNNNNNNNNNNNNNNNNNNNNNNNNNNNNNNNNNNNNNNNNNNNNNNNNNNNNNNNNNNNNNNNNNNNNNNNNNNNNNNNNNNCCCCCCCCCCCAGCCCCCCCCCAGGAGGCCCUGGAGGUGACGGAGGCCGCGGGGCCACACCAGGCCGUGGUCCCGGCAAGGAGGGGGGGGGCGCCCCAUUUUGGGGACAAAACGCCUGUUUUUGGGACUGAGAGCCCCGUAUUUGGGAACAAGACCCCGCUAUUUGGGGUUAGAGCCCUUUUUUCGGGGUCCAAACCCCCCUUUUUGGGGCUAAAACGUCCCCAUUUUAGGCCUAAGACACCCCGUUUUGAAGCCAAGACCCCCCAUUUGGGGGUUAAGACCACCCAUUUUGGGGUAAAACCCCCCGUUUUGGGGCUCACACCAAACUUCUGGGGUCAAAACCCCCCAUUCUGGGGCCAAGACGCCCAUUUUGGGGCCGGGGGCCUCCCCGUUUUGAGGCCGGGACUGCCAAUUUUGGGUAAAAAACACUCACUUUGAGGCCGGAGACCCCCUUUUUGGGGCCAGAGACCCUCUUUUUGGGGCCGGGGACCCACAUUUUGAGGCGGAGAACCCCCUUUUGGGGUUGGGACCUUCCUUUUUUUGAGACCGGGGACCUCCAUUUUGAGGCCAGAACCCCUAUUUCGGGGACCUCCCUGUUUUUGGGCUGAAAAACCCCGUUUUUGGGGCUGGGGACCCCCCAUUUUGGGGUCAGACAACCCCUUUUUGGGGUCAAGCUCACUCCAAUGGGGCCGAGCCCCCCCCUUUUUACUGCUCCCCUCCCCCCUUUGUACUGGGAGCCCCUUUUUUUAUACUGGGGACCCCCCCUUUGACCUGAGGACCCCCCCCGUGGGGCCGGGGACCCCCUAUUUAUUGCCGCGGGGCCGCGUUUUGGGGCCGUUCCCCUCGGUUUCGGGUUCUCGAUGACUUUCUUCGUCCCCUGCUCCUCGUCUUGCUGCUCUGUCCGGCCGCCGGGGGGGGGGUUGUGUGGUUUUGGGGCUCCCUUUUAGGGAUUUUGGUGGUUUUGAGGCUCCCCAGAGGGAUCUUGGGGGUUUCAAGGCUCCCCUGCAGGGGGGUUGGGUGGUUUCGGGGCUCCCCACAAA
This 2269-nucleotide long non-coding RNA is filed under the name Anas platyrhynchos platyrhynchos (common mallard). RNAcentral describes it as "lncRNA (ENSAPLG00000017727.1)". Lineage: Eukaryota; Metazoa; Chordata; Aves; Anseriformes; Anatidae. The record is from RNAcentral.